RNAcentral lists this ribosomal RNA (118 nucleotides) under Pteropus alecto (black flying fox). Lineage: Eukaryota; Metazoa; Chordata; Mammalia; Chiroptera; Pteropodidae. The record is from RNAcentral.
GUCUACUGCCAUGUUACUCUGAACAAGCUCGAUCCCGUUUGAUCUUGGAAGCUAAGCAGGUUUGGCCCUGGUUAGUACUUGGAUAGGAGAACACCUAGGAAGACCAAGUGUAUAGGUG